AGUGAAGCGGCAACAGCUCAAAUUUGAAAUCUGGCCCUAGGCCCGAGUUGUAAUUUGCAGAGGAUGCUUUUGGUGCGGUGCCUUCCAAGUUCCCUAGAACGGGACGCCAGAGAGGGUGAGAGCCCCGUACAGUUGGACACCAAGCCUUUGUAAAGCUCCUUCGACGAGUCGAGUAGUUUGGGAAUGCUGCUCAAAAUGGGAGGUAUAUUUCUUCUAAAGCUAAAUACCGGCCAGAGACCGAUAGCGCACAAGUAGAGUGAUCGAAAGAUGAAAAGCACUUUGAAAAGAGGGUUAAACAGCACGUGAAAUUGUUAAAAGGGAAGCGCUUGUGACCAGACUUGCGUCCGGUGAAUCACCCAGCUCUCGCGGCUGGGGCACUUCGCCGGCUCAGGCCAGCAUCAGCUCGCUGUCGGGGACAAAAGCUUCAGGAACGUAGCUCUCUUCGGGGAGUGUUAUAGCCUGUUGCACAAUACCCUUCGGCGGGCUGAGGUACGCGCUCCGCAAGGAUGCUGGCAUAAUGGUCAUCAGCGAC
RNAcentral lists this ribosomal RNA (532 nucleotides) under Colletotrichum kahawae. Its description in RNAcentral is "partial large subunit ribosomal RNA". It matches the Rfam family "Eukaryotic large subunit ribosomal RNA", at positions 92 to 648 of the family's 3401-position model. RNAcentral also lists the same sequence under 2 other names. Lineage: Eukaryota; Fungi; Ascomycota; Sordariomycetes; Glomerellales; Glomerellaceae. The record is from RNAcentral.